RNAcentral lists this long non-coding RNA (2128 nucleotides) under Ananas comosus (pineapple). RNAcentral's name for it is "long non-coding RNA (ACOM_LNC005721)". Lineage: Eukaryota; Viridiplantae; Streptophyta; Magnoliopsida; Poales; Bromeliaceae. The record is from RNAcentral.
UGGAGUGGAAUUGAGCUGAGAGGAAGUCUUUUAAGCAUAGAAACCAGCUGGGGGUAGCUAAAAUCUGAGGUAAGGAUUGGUAAAUUCCUGGUUUGAGUAGGUUAAUUGAUCUAGAAAGGAUCUAAAUUACAAAUUUUGGAUGUUAGAACUUGCUACUAGCAUGUAAUUCUAUGAGGAAACCUAAUAGAACAAUAUGAAUUCAGCUAGAAGCUGAAACUUGAGAUUAGAUGAGGUAAAUUCCUGGUUAGAGUGAUGUUGUUUACUCUAUAAAGAGGUUAAAAAAUAAAAUUCUUGGUGGUUAGAACUUGGAGCUACCAUGAGAUCUAGAGAGAAACUAUAUAUUGGAUGUUAUAUAAGAACCUUGGUGGUAUAGGACAGCACACAUGAAAUUCCUGAUUAGAGAUGAUGUAUGGGAUAAACUUAGGCUAUUACUUGUUAUAAUUUAUGUUUAAUCAGCCUAAGGAAAGCUUGGUUGAGAGCUUAAUAGUUUCCAAAGCUUGGAAUUGCCAUGAAAGCAACCUAAAGUAAGCUAAUUGUUGUGUGUAUAUAUGUAUGUAGUAAACAACUGGGUAGAUUAUAGUUCUAAUUUCGGAUUAGGGAUCAUUGUAUUUAACCUAGAGAAAAGGUUUAGUCUGUAAUUUCUGGGUUACUAGCACUUGAAUUACCAUGGAACCUAGUAGAAAAGCUAUAUGCGUUUUAUGCAAUUUGUAUAGAAUCAGGCUAUGUGAAACUUAAGCUUCAAAAUGCACUUUUGUAGGAUUGGAGGCCUAGUUUGAAAUUGGUCGCUUGAAACCCUAAUUGGGGAUAAAACUAACGCAUUGGAAAGCUCAAAUCGGCGUUCCGAUGAGCCUACGGCAAGCUAGUGAGGAAAAAUCUCAUUUUAGCUUCGUUUGUCGCGAGCGAGGGUCGUGAUUGUUUAGAAAUCGCGAGAAGUAGUUUUCUCGCUUCUCGGCAUUAUUUAAAGGUGGGUGGUGCUUUCCGAAGUCAUCGAAUGACAUAUUAUGUUUAUGUCAAUUUUAUUGAGCAUACAUGGAUUAUACAUAUUUAGUUGAUAUUCAUACAUAAUAGGGUUGUGAUUGUCAUAUGGUAAAGUGUAAUAUGUGUUCUAUUUGUAUGAUUUGGAAGCAAAGUACAGUUGGACAAUGGUUAGUAAAUAUAGAACUCUAUAGGUGUAUGAACUUGUGUUUGACUAUGAAAUAGUUGACAAAGUAACAUUGUGAAUAGAUUGCAUGAGUGGCACCUAGUAUUGUGAAUGUCAAACAAGGAGAAUGAACUGGUAAAAUGUGUGGCAUUAGAACUAGAUGAACUUAUUAGCAUCUGGAGUUGGACAUGUAAAUCUAGCAUAAAGAGCUAGUUAAAGUGUGGCAUUAUCAGUGCAUCCUCUAAGGGAGGAUUAGAUCAUACUCACAUUAGUCUAAUGCUCGAGAUAAGGUCGCUCCUCCUUGGGCGAUGAGCUCUGGAGUGUGUCAUCAACUGGGUUGAUCGUAUAAGCCUUCCUAGUAGACGGUCCCGUCGGGAGGCAGCUUACGGCCCGACAAAAGGGAUUGAGUUGGUGAGUUAUAGUUAACCAAAUGGUUAACCAGAUUGAUUGAGUAAUGAUUAUUAAUAGCAUGCACGCAUAACUUUCAUCUGUUAUAUAUAUUGUUCCUUUCAGCUUUGUACAGGCAUUGUAGUAGUUACAUGUUAUAAUUGAUUACUAUCUGUUCUUUUCUUUACCUACAUAUGCAUAAAUAAACCUAGUGGGUGAAUCGGUAAGGUCGGCAGCCGAACCCACUGGAAACUUUCAAUAGUUCUCACCCCACUAACCAUGCAGGUUCUUGUUCGUGCGGGGUGGUUGAGGAUCGUGACUUGGACAGCGCUCCAUAAAUAGCUGACAUCUAUUGAGUAUAGUUGUACCUUGUACAUUUCAUCUAUUUAUAGUUGAUGAAAGCAAAUGUAAAUUGUUUAUUUGAGAGAUGGCAAUGUAUCUAUGUUAAAGAAUGUAUUAAAGAAUAUGUGUAAGUAGAUGGUAAGCUUUGUAUUUGAUUUAAAGUAAUCAAGAUACAAUGUAGGAAUGUUUUAGUUAUUUACUUUCACUUGUUUGUGUUGCUUACCCUCGUGUAGGCCAUGUAUAUUGAAAUUUUUUCUU